RNAcentral lists this unclassified non-coding RNA (346 nucleotides) under uncultured Hydnotrya. RNAcentral's name for it is "sequence contains ITS1". The stretch from base 1 to 105 matches the Rfam family "5.8S ribosomal RNA", at positions 50 to 154 of the family's 154-position model. Lineage: Eukaryota; Fungi; Ascomycota; Pezizomycetes; Pezizales; Discinaceae. The record is from RNAcentral.
GAAAUGCGAUAAGUAAUGUGAAUUGCAGAAUUCAGUGAAUCAUCGAAUCUUUGAACGCACAUUGCGCCCCCUGGUAUUCCGGGGGGCAUGCCUGUUCGAGCCUCAAUGAAACCUCUCCCUCAGUUCAGGUCUUCCUGCACGUGAGGGGUAUUGCUGGAUGCCCACGCCGUGAAAAGUGCCGGCACCGCCCAAAUUCACAGUCCGCGUGCCUGGGGGUAGCGACCAACGUAGUGAGAUUCAAUCUCGUUGGCGACGUGACCCCACAGAGGCGACGGGACCUUAAGCGCCAAGGCGCCAAGUCAAAACGGUUGAGCUCGGAUCAGGUAGGGAUACCCGCUGAACUUAA